CCUACGGGAGGCAGCAGUGAGGAAUAUUGCGCAAUGGGGGAAACCCUGACGCAGCCACGCCGCGUGCCGGAAGACGGCCCUAUGGGUUGUAAACGGCUUUUGUUUGGGAAGAAAGUGCAGGUUUCGACCAGCAUUGACGGUACCAAUUGAAUCAGCACCGGCUAACUCCGUGCCAGCAGCCGCGGUAAU
This 189-nucleotide ribosomal RNA is filed under the name uncultured bacterium. Its description in RNAcentral is "partial 16S ribosomal RNA". It matches the Rfam family "Bacterial small subunit ribosomal RNA", at positions 338 to 524 of the family's 1533-position model. The record is from RNAcentral.